This 497-nucleotide ribosomal RNA is filed under the name uncultured bacterium. RNAcentral's name for it is "partial 16S ribosomal RNA". It matches the Rfam family "Bacterial small subunit ribosomal RNA", at positions 28 to 507 of the family's 1533-position model. The record is from RNAcentral.
GAUGAACGCUGGCGGCGUGCCUAAUACAUGCAAGUCGAGCGAACGGACGAGAAGCUUGCUUUUCUGAUGUUAGCGGCGGACGGGUGAGUAACACGUGGAUAACCUACCUAUAAGACUGGGAUAACUUCGGGAAACCGGAGCUAAUACCGGAUAAUAUUUUGAACCGCAUGGUUCAAAAGUGAAAGACGGUCUUGCUGUCACCUAUAGAUGGAUCCGCGCUGCAUUAGCUAGUUGGUAAGGUAACGGCUUACCAAGGCAACGAUGCAUAGCCGACCUGAGAGGGUGAUCGGCCACACUGGAACUGAGACACGGUCCAGACUCCUACGGGAGGCAGCAGCAGGGAAUCUUCCGCAAUGGGCGAAAGCCUGACGGAGCAACGCCGCGUGAGUGAUGAAGGUCUUCGGAUCGUAAAACUCUGUUAUUAGGGAAGAACAUAUGUGUAAGUAACUGUGCACAUCUUGACGGUACCUAAUCAGAAAGCCACGGCUAACUACGUG